GAUGAACGCUGGCGGCGUGCUUAACACAUGCAAGUCGAACGAGAAGUGAAGACGGAAACCUUCGGGCGGAAGGCUUUAUUUCGAGUGGCGGACGGGUGAGUAACGCGUGGGUAACCUGCCUCAUACAGGGGGAUAACAGUUGGAAACGACUGUUAAUACCGCAUAAGACCACAGCACCGCAUGGUGCGGGGGUAAAAACUCCGGUGGUAUGAGAUGGACCCGCGUUCGAUUAGCCAGUUGGCGGGGUAACGGCCCACCAAAGCGACGAUCGAUAGCCGAUCUGAGAGGAUGACCGGCCACAUUGGGACUGAGACACGGCCCAAACUCCUACGGGAGGCAGCAGUGGGGAAUAUUGCACAAUGGGGGAAACCCUGAUGCAGCGACGCCGCGUGAGUGAAGAAGUAUUUCGGUACGUAAAGCUCUAUCAGCAGGGAAGAAAAUGACGGUACCUGAGUAAGAAGCCCCGGCUAACUACGUG
Molecule: ribosomal RNA, 478 nt
Filed under: uncultured bacterium
Lineage: Bacteria
Description: partial 16S ribosomal RNA
Rfam family: Bacterial small subunit ribosomal RNA
Source: RNAcentral